This is a long non-coding RNA of Chenopodium quinoa (quinoa), 466 nucleotides long. RefSeq lists it as uncharacterized. The transcript has 2 exons. Lineage: Eukaryota; Viridiplantae; Streptophyta; Magnoliopsida; Caryophyllales; Amaranthaceae. The record is from RefSeq and is a predicted model, not a curated record.
AGCAGUGUGCGGACGGUUUUGUCCUCGUCUUGCGAUGUUAUUUGCGGUCCUGCCAUUGGAUCUUGACUUCCUUUGCUUACUACCUCAGCUUUGUCAGUCCAACUUUUCCUGAAUUCACUUACCAUCACUCAUUCAUUUCCGUUUUCUCUCUCUUCCUACUCUCUUUCCCUUUCCUCCUCUGCUAUUGUCCUGCCAUUUUUCCACUUUUACUUUUAAGCUUUUUUGCUCUUCCAUUGAAGGUCAUUCUGAGUUUUCCAUUGAAGCGUGUUUUGAGCUUCCUUUCUUCCAUUAUUGCUGAGUGUUGACUAUUUUCAGGUGGAGUCAAUAAUUGAGCAUAUGGGAGUCCCGGGAAUGUUUACACCUAGAAUUAGGAUUGCUGGUCUUUGUCUAAUUAUGAGUACUCAUGACAAUGGUUUCUAUUUAUAGUUAUUAUUAAUAAAGAAAGAGUUUGAAUUUCUGCUGCAAA